GACGAACGCUGGCGGUGUGCUUAACACAUGCAAGUCGAACGGUAAGGCCCUUUCGGGGGUACACGAGUGGCGAACGGGUGAGUAACACGUGAGUAACCUGCCCUCAUCCCUGGGAUAACAGUCGGAAACGGUUGCUAAUACUGGAUAUGAGCUUGCAAGGCAUCUUGUGGGUUGGAAAGAUUUUUUUUGGUUGGGGAUGGACUCGCGGCCUAUCAGCUUGUUGGUGAGGUAGUGGCUCACCAAGGCUUCGACGGGUAGCCGGCCUGAGAGGGCGACCGGCCACAUUGGGACUGAGAUACGGCCCAGACUCCUACGGGAGGCAGCAGUGGGGAAUAUUGCACAAUGGACGGAAGUCUGAUGCAGCAACGCCGCGUGCGGGAUGACGGCCUUCGGGUUGUAAACCGCUUUCAAUUGUGACGAAGCUUUUUUGUGACGGUAGCAGUAGAAGAAGCACCGGCUAACUACGUG
This 468-nucleotide ribosomal RNA is filed under the name uncultured bacterium. RNAcentral's name for it is "partial 16S ribosomal RNA". It matches the Rfam family "Bacterial small subunit ribosomal RNA", at positions 28 to 507 of the family's 1533-position model. The record is from RNAcentral.